Molecule: ribosomal RNA, 424 nt
Filed under: uncultured bacterium
Lineage: Bacteria
Description: bacterial SSU rRNA
Rfam family: Bacterial small subunit ribosomal RNA
Source: RNAcentral
GUGGGGAAUUGUUCGCAAUGGGCGCAAGCCUGACGACGCAACGCCGCGUGGAGGAUGAAGGUCUUCGGAUUGUAAACUCCUGUUGCCCGGGACGAAUGGCUCCGACCUAAUACGUCGGAGUGUGACGGUCCCUGGUGAGGAAGCCCCGGCUAACUCUGUGCCAGCCGCCGCGGUAAUACAGAGGGGGCAAGCGUUGUUCGGAAUUACUGGGCGUAAAGGGCGCGUAGGCGGCCUGCUAAGUCGAACGUGAAAUCCCCGGGCUCAACCCGGGAACUGCGUCCGAUACUGGUUGGCUCGAAUCCGGGAGAGGGAUGUGGAAUUCCAGGUGUAGCGGUGAAAUGCGUAGAUAUCUGGAGGAACACCGGUGGCGAAGGCGGCAUCCUGGACCGGCAUUGACGCUGAGGCGCGAAAGCCAGGGGAGCAA